This 497-nucleotide ribosomal RNA is filed under the name uncultured bacterium. Its description in RNAcentral is "partial 16S ribosomal RNA". It matches the Rfam family "Bacterial small subunit ribosomal RNA", at positions 28 to 507 of the family's 1533-position model. The record is from RNAcentral.
GAUGAACGCUGGCGGCGUGCCUAAUACAUGCAAGUCGAACGGACGGACGAUAAGCUUGUUGUUUUGAUGUUAGCGGCGGACGGGUGUGUAACACGUGGAUCACCUACCUAUAUUACUGGGAUAAUUACGGAAAACCGGCUAUAAUACCGGAUAAUAUUUUGUACCGCAGGGUUCAAUAGUGAUAGACGGCCUUGGUGUCACUAAUAGCUGCUUCCGCGCUGCAUUAUCUAGUUGGUAAGGUAACGGCCUACCAAGGCGACGAUGCGUGUCCGAGCUGAGAGGGUGAUCGGCCACACUGGAACGUAGACACGGUCCAGACGCCUACGGGAGGCAGCAGUCGGGAAUGUUACGCAAUGGGCGCAAGCCUGACCCAGCAAGGCCGCGUGAGUGAUGAAGGCCUUCGGAUCGUAAAGCCCUGUUAUUGGGGAAGAACAGAUGUGGAAUUAAACGUGGAGAUCGUGACGGUACCUAAUCAAAAAGCACCGGCUAACUACGUG